Molecule: long non-coding RNA, 1275 nt
Organism: Xenopus tropicalis (tropical clawed frog)
Lineage: Eukaryota; Metazoa; Chordata; Amphibia; Anura; Pipidae
Exons: 4
Source: RefSeq, a predicted model, not a curated record
ACAUGUUCUUCAGGCUCCAGAAGGAAAUUAUGUCUCUGCCAGCUUUAAAACAGAUUUCAUUGAAAUUAUGAUUGAAAAUCAGAUAUCAGAGUGUGUCUGAUAAACUUCCUUGAAGAGGUGGAAUUCAAGAAGCAUCUGAAGAUUGGCAGCAAAAGAGAGAGACAGAGAGAACAUGGCAGUGAAGAACUAAAGUUGACUAAAGACAACCACAUUGAACUUCAAUCAGCAAACAGAGCCGGGAAAACUGUAACUGGCAGAAAAUUCCUGCUGCUUCCAAUGCAAUCAUAUCAGAGCGAGCGGUAGCUAUUUUAAUGCAGGAAAGCAUAGAGCGCUGUGUACAGCAGGCUAAAACCUCACUUCUUCCUACGAGCUACACAGCAAGGCUCCAUGUGAUUGGCUGUACCACCAACUAUAGUGAUGCAAUCAAAUGUGUGUCUGAUUGAUGAACUGUACUUGCUAUAAGCUGGAGCUGAGUAAUAAGACACAGUAUUCUGGAAUGACUAUUGGAAAUGCUGCCUGUAGCUCUGCACAGCAUGCAUCUCUUGCACUACACUCCCAUCUCAUUUUUACUGUUGAGGGUACUAUGAGACACUUCACGUAGCACUUACAUGGCAUGUAAAAGAGCUUAAGUUAGGCCAAUAUUAACUUUUAUUUUUAGCUCCUAAUCAUUGCCUCUCACAGCAAGAAUGGCCCAAAAAACAAGACACCAAAAGGUCAUGUCCAAAAUAAUGUUAACCUACAGACCAGUUUCAUAUUUUUCUCUUAUUGUUUAAGAAGUAGUACAAAACUGGCAGAUGAAACACUAAUAAUCCAUGUUACAAUGAAGCUGCAGGAUCACCCAGAAAAGGGGAUAAUUAGGGUUGUGUGAGUGGUACUGGCACAACAGGAGUCCAUUUGUACAUUAUAUGCAUUUACCUUUAUAAUGGGAUUGAUUCAAUCAUUGAAACAGCUUUACUUUCUCUAUGGCUGUUAUUUUAAGCAAUGUAAUUCUGUGGAUUGUGAACUUUGUGCUUAGAGUGUCAUUUAAAUGUAAGGUAGGUGGCGGAAAAAUAAACUGAUACAUCAAAUAUACAUCAAAUAUGAAAACCCUAAAUAAGAAAUAUGAUAUAAUUCGCUGAGGUACCUGGUGUUGCCCAGGAAAUUGGCUUUUACAUCUUUAAAAUAAAAUAAUAAUUUGCAAAACAAAUUGCUUAGCUUGCAGAAGGUAAUUGAUAAACAGUCAUUUAUGUAGAUAUACUGUAUAUGUAGAUUUUUAUUUAUAUAGCAGAACAGUAA